Molecule: ribosomal RNA, 497 nt
Filed under: uncultured bacterium
Lineage: Bacteria
Description: partial 16S ribosomal RNA
Rfam family: Bacterial small subunit ribosomal RNA
Source: RNAcentral
GAUGAACGCUGGCGGCGUGCCUAAUACAUGCAAGUCGAGCGAACAGACGAGGAGCUUGCUCCUCUGACGUUAGCGGCGGACGGGUGAGUAACACGUGGAUAACCUACCUAUAAGACUGGGAUAACUUCGGGAAACCGGAGCUAAUACCGGAUAAUAUAUUGAACCGCAUGGUUCAAUAGUGAAAGACGGUUUUGCUGUCACUUAUAGAUGGAUCCGCGCCGCAUUAGCUAGUUGGUAAGGUAACGGCUUACCAAGGCAACGAUGCGUAGACGACCUGAGAGGGUGAUCGGCCACACUGGAACUGAGACACGGUCCAUACUCCUAAGGGAGGCAGCAGUAGGGAAUCUUCCGCAAUGGGCGAAAGCCUGACGGAGCAACGCCGCGUGAGUGAUGAAGGUCUUCGGAUCGUAAAACUCUGUUAUUAGGGAAGAACAAAUGUGUAAGUAACUAUGCACGUCUUGACGGUACCUAAUCAGAAAGCCACGGCUAACUACGUG